This is a long non-coding RNA of Homo sapiens (human), 3159 nucleotides long. RefSeq lists it as uncharacterized. Lineage: Eukaryota; Metazoa; Chordata; Mammalia; Primates; Hominidae. The transcript is spliced from 2 exons. The record is from RefSeq and is a predicted model, not a curated record.
UUUUUUUAGCCUAUCUGAUGCAGCCUACCUGUCCUUUUUAGUAAUGCUUGAUACAUGGGUAGCGCCUUGGUUUAAAAGCACCUCCUCCUACACCUCUCAUCUGACCUCAACGCUAUCCUGCUUCUCAGAUGAGAACUCCACAGGCCACAGGGUUGAGGGAUCUGACAGACAUCAGGAGGGGACAGCGACAGGAACAAGCAAGAGUGUCUGAGAAGGGCUCCUCAAAGACCCACAGUAAGGAAAUACCUGUGACUAUCAACAGAAAUUAGACAUCUCCACUUCACAUCGCGGUUGCCGCAGAUCUCUUGAAAUACCAUUUGUGCAGACCACAACGUCAACACUACAGUAGGAGUUACCGCUGCCGCUGGCCCCUGCGGUUUCUGCCCUUCAUCAAGAAGCCAGUCUAGGACCCCCUCACAAGUGUGUUCUAAUCCUUUAGGCCCUGUGUCUUUUAAAUCACGUUUUCCGGGAAGGAGUACAAACUCUUCAGACUACCAAGCCCGCCAUUUAAAUUGGGAACUUCAGAGGCCGGAGCCCUGGAGCCGGAGACCCUCCCCGACAGCACAAGGUCGCCCGCAGCCCGCGCGCCCCCACCCCCUCGACCUCUUGGAGGUGGGGAUCCCCUCAGGGUUACCUGGGGGCCCCGUUAGGAACACGUGCCGGGCCAUACUGGUGGGCGGGGGUAGGGGUUGCGGUCAGGGGAGCAGUCCAGGUUGGGGUCGCAAUUCAGGUCAGGUCCGGACCAGGGUCGCGACUCAGGACCCGCCCACCGCGUGUCGCAGGCCCCGCCCCCAAGCGGUGCUUUGACCGGAAGCACCGCCCUCAAGACCACGCAUGCGCCUUCUCCCGAGUCCCCGGUCCGCGCCUGCGCAUUCAGCCCUCGGCAUUGGCGCCUGUGCCGCGGCAGUUCCUAUAGGCGGAGCGGGUUGUACGGUCUCUUAAGUUUCAUUCUGGGUUCAGGGCUUUUGUGGGGUAUUUGCAGAGAUAAGUGCGUGAGAACGUCAGUUAUUAAACUAUUGCUGCUUCAAGUCAGCGCCAUCACCCAAGUUCUGCCCCUUGACUCCGGACCUAGGAGCUGAAAUUGCCCAAGGCUGCCGGGACAGCCCUUUUGUAGAAGGUUUGUGACCUGGAAGCAUUCCUCAAAGGGGGAUGCCAUGUUAAUGACUCCAACUUUGUUCUCAAACAUUCCUGCAGAAUAGAAUCAGCUGGGGAGUUUUAAACUUGCUCUGAUGCCUGGGUUUCACCUGCAGUAAUAGGGAGUGUCAGAAGACAAAAUUACAAGUUUAGUUUAAAGAUCUAAUUGGCUUAUAUUUAGGAUCUAGAAUCGAGAAAUAGAUCAUUUCAUAAAGCAAAUAGAGUGUUCCAAUGAGUUGUGCAGAGGAGGUUGGCUUUAUGGGCAAAAAAAGGCUGAAGAACAAAACAAAGAGUGGGUAUUUCAAAGUUACUUUCCUUAUAGGGUUAAAACAGAUUGGACUUCGUUAUUGUACUGACUCAGGUUAACUACAAUCUCCUGUUUUUUGGGAAAACGGGCCUGUUUCAAAGUUCAGUUUGGUUACAUGGCACUUGGCACAAGUGACUCCAUUCUGGUUUGGUCUAGUCUGCUAGGACCUAGUGCAGGAGGUUAGUCCAAAACAAUGGCCUCCCAUAAAUCUUGUUUAACAUGAGUAAUUGGUCUUGAGCGAGUCUUGAGCACCUGUAUUCUUUUUUCUUCUUUCUAAACUCCAGGAAGUUCCUGAAGUGCGCUAGGGUUGAGAACCACUGGUGUAGGCAGGCUUCCCGUCCUCAGCCAUGCAUAGGACGCCCAGUUUUCCCUCUUUACUUUCACACCAAAGUGUAUAAAGAUCUCCUCUUGCAAAGAAUUAAAUAGCUUCUCCGUCUCACUUUACCACUGCAAGUGUUCCGGCCAACGAAUGACGUGGCAGUGGCCUUGGGCCACAUUUACCUGUAAACUCUUUCAGUCUAACAUGUGUACAGCUUAAUUUGUAGUCAGUCGUUCCCCAUCCUGGCUGAGAAAGCAGUUCAGUGAGUGCUCAACUUAAUUGGUUUCUGCCCACACAUGGACCUCUUGGUUUCCCUUUAGCCUGAGACAUAUGCCAGUCCAAUGAUUAUCUAAAAAAACAAAGUUGGAUUUGUAAAAUAUAGCUGUCAUCACCAUCAUUUCUGCAACAUUUGUAAUGCUCUAUUAUUAUAACAGUAUACUAUUUAUUAUCCCAACUGUUAAUGUAGGGCCUUCCACCUUGAUUUAUUUUGCAGUCCAUAUAUGUUGAAUACAGUGAAAAGUUGAUAUAGUAAAGUAAAUUCAUAGGAGGAGCUUCCAAAAAAAAGGAAAAAAGUAUAUGUAUCUCUUGUAUCAAAAGUACUCGUUUUAAAUGUUAAUCAGAUAGCAUUUUCCAUCACUGAAAAGCAGUUUGGAUUUGCAAGGCUCACCGGAAGUUGGGUUCUUUUGUUUUGUUGCUGUGCCUGGAAUUCUGGCAUCAGUUUAAGUAGCUCAAAGAUACAUGGAAUUCAGAUAUGGUGAAUCAACGUCUCACAAAACAGAAAAAAAGACUCCAUAGUUGAAUGUACUUUAUCCAUGGAAAAUGAAUUAUUUGGAUGGUAGUUCCACGGAUAUCUUCUUGUUAGAAAAUUCAUUGAUUUGAUGCUUAAUUUCUACAGUUUCCUGUAUGUGUUAUUAGGUAACAAUAACAAAAAAUUAAAUAGCUUAUAUCUCUUAGAGAUUAACAACAAAAGAAGAUGGCAUAAAUUGAAACAAAUUUUAAAAUAAAUGGGAUCUUAAAGUACUGUACCAUACUGAAUCCAACUUUUGCUUCCUAUCUAAUCAACAUCCAAUGGACGGAUGUUUGUGUCCCCCCAAAAUUCAUAUUGUUGAAAUCCUAACCCACAAGGUGAAGGUAUUAAAGUGUGGGGCCUUAAAGAAGCAAUUAGGUAAUCAGGUCACUAGAGUGGAGUCCUCAUGAAUGUGAUUAGUACCCUUAGAAAAAGGCGGGAGAAAACUUGCUUUCUAUCUCUCUGCUCUCUGCCAUGUGAAGAUACGAGGAGAAGACUGCUCUCUGUCAACCAAGAUGAGGGCCUUCCCCAAGAACCCAGUCGUGUUGGCACCCUGAUCUUAAACUUCAGCCUCCAGAGUUGUAAGAAAUAAAUGUUUUUUUGUUUAAGCCA